This 82-nucleotide transfer RNA is filed under the name bacterium. RNAcentral describes it as "tRNA-Leu". It matches the Rfam family "tRNA". From Rfam's summary of the family: Transfer RNA (tRNA) molecules are approximately 80 nucleotides in length. The record is from RNAcentral. RNAcentral also lists the same sequence under 1 other name.
GCCCAGGUGGCGGAAUUGGUAGACGCGCUGGUCUCAAACACCAGUUUCUUCGGAAGUACCGGUUCGACCCCGGUCCUGGGUA